This 461-nucleotide ribosomal RNA is filed under the name uncultured bacterium. RNAcentral describes it as "bacterial SSU rRNA". It matches the Rfam family "Bacterial small subunit ribosomal RNA", at positions 34 to 507 of the family's 1533-position model. The record is from RNAcentral.
CGCUGGCGGCGUGCCUAACACAUGCAAGUCGAACGAGGUCCAUGAGAGCUUGCUCUCAGAAGACCUAGUGGCGAACGGGUGAGUAACACGUGAGAAACCUGCCUCGGAGUGGGGAAUAACUCGGGGAAACUCGAGCUAAUACCGCAUAUCUUCACAUGAUCGCAUGGUCGAGUGAAGAAAGAAUUUCGCUCUGAGAGGGUCUCGCGGCCUAUCAGCUGUUGGUGGGGUAAACGGCCCACCAAGGCAACGACGGGUAGCUGGUUUGAGAGAACGAUCAGCCACACUGGGACUGAGACACGGCCCAGACUCCUACGGGAGGCAGCAGUGGGGAAUCUUGCGCAAUGGGCGAAAGCCUGACGCAGCAACGCCGCGUGCGGGAUGACGGCCUUCGUGGUUGUAAACCGCUUUCAGCAGGGACGAAAAUGACGGUACCUGCAGAAGAAGCCCCGGCUAACUACGUG